RNAcentral lists this ribosomal RNA (460 nucleotides) under uncultured bacterium. RNAcentral describes it as "partial 16S ribosomal RNA". It matches the Rfam family "Bacterial small subunit ribosomal RNA", at positions 338 to 795 of the family's 1533-position model. The record is from RNAcentral.
CCUACGGGAGGCAGCAGUGAGGAAUCUUGGUCAAUGGCCGGAAGCCUGAACCAGUCAUGCCGCGUGAAUGUCAGUGCCCUAUGGGCGUUAAACUUCUUUUGUGCGGGAGCAAUAUUGGUCACGUGUGGCCAGACGAGAGUACCGUACGAAUAAGCAUCGGCUAACUCCGUGCCAGCAGCCGCUGUAGUGCGGGUGAUGCAAGCGUUAUCCGGAUUUAUUGGGUUUAAAGGGUGCGUAGGCUGUGAGGUAAGUCAGCGGUGAAAUGCCCCCGCUCAACGGGGUGAAGUGCAAUUGAUACUGCCUUGCUGGAAUGCGGAUGCCGUGGGAGGAAUGUGUGGUGUAGCUGUGAAAUGCAUAGAGAUCACACAGAACACCGAUUGCGAAGGCAUCUCACGAAUCCGCGAUUGACGCUGAUGCACGAAAGCGUGGGUAUCAAACAGGAUUAGAUACCCGUGUAGUC